This 22-nucleotide small nuclear RNA is filed under the name Arabidopsis thaliana (thale cress). RNAcentral's name for it is "snRNA_01054". The record is from RNAcentral. Lineage: Eukaryota; Viridiplantae; Streptophyta; Magnoliopsida; Brassicales; Brassicaceae.
AAUUACCACCGAGCGGCGGGUA